RNAcentral lists this ribosomal RNA (253 nucleotides) under uncultured prokaryote. Its description in RNAcentral is "partial 16S ribosomal RNA". It matches the Rfam family "Bacterial small subunit ribosomal RNA", at positions 525 to 777 of the family's 1533-position model. The record is from RNAcentral.
ACGUAGGGUGCGAGCGUUGUCCGGAAUUACUGGGCGUAAAGAGCUCGUAGGUGGUUUGUCGCGUUGUUCGUGAAAACUCACAGCUUAACUGUGGGCGUGCGGGCGAUACGGGCAGACUGGAGUACUGCAGGGGAGACUGGAAUUCCUGGUGUAGCGGUGGAAUGCGCAGAUAUCAGGAGGAACACCGGUGGCGAAGGCGGGUCUCUGGGCAGUAACUGACGCUGAGGAGCGAAAGCGUGGGGAGCGAACAGGA